Phoenix dactylifera (date palm) is the source of this 793-nucleotide non-coding RNA. Lineage: Eukaryota; Viridiplantae; Streptophyta; Magnoliopsida; Arecales; Arecaceae. The record is from RefSeq and is a predicted model, not a curated record.
GAGCAGAGGGCUGCAUCGCCGGAGUAGGAGACGAACGAUCCCCUUCAAAGCAGGUGAUCAAGGAUUUGUCACCCGGACGUAAGAAAUUGGAAAGUAUAUUGCUAUGAUUAAGACCACUAGGAGCAGGGAGCUUGAUGUUAUUCAGGGUUGGGGUAAUUAAAAAUGUUAUGUAAUAAUCAGAUUUUAGAAGCUCUGUACUGUUCCAACUUCAUGAACAAUGUUAUGACAUCCUUUUCGUUACUGUCUCUUGGGUACCCCCACCCCUUGGCUAUCUCAAAAUAAAUUUCGAUGGCAGUAGGUCACUAGACGGUUUGACUGGAGGGGUCGGCUUUGUGAUCAGGGAUCACGGUGGUAGGUUGGUGGCUGCAGGUGGGCGUCGGACUCCUGGGAUCACAGUUGUUGGUGCGGAGCUGCGGGCUGCUUGGGAGGGCUUAUCCUAUGCCAGGCAGGUCCUUGGAGCCGAGCGAGUGUUCCUCGAGGGAGACUCUACGGUGGUGAUCGAUUGGAUCCGGGGGAUGGACAGGUACGGUGACGGUCACCCCCUUAUUCGGGAGACUCGGAGGAUGGCUCAGAUGAUGGUCGGUUUCCAGAUUGGUCAUGUGUUUAGAGAGGCGAACAGGGCCGCCGACUGGGUCGCCUCUUUUGUGGCCCGGCAUUCCGGGGAUGUUUUGUGGACGUCUACUAUAGACGCUCCUUCUCCUUUGUUGUCUUUUAUUUCUUCGGACAGGGCGGGUUGUACUCAUGUUAGAUCUAUUUGAAUGAGUAGCCGUUUUUACCAAAAAAAAAAAAAAAA